AUUGAACGCUGGCGGCAUGAUUUACACAUGCAAGUCGAACGGUAACAGGCCGCGAGGUGCUGACGACUGGCGGACGGGUGUGUAAUGCAUCGGAACGGGCCCACUCGUGGGGGAUAACUACUCUAAAGGGUGGCUAAUACCGCAUACGACCUAUGGAUGAACGUGGGAGACCGUAAGGCCUCGCGCGAUUGGAGCGGCCGAUGUCAGUUUAGGUAGUUGGUGGGGUCAAGGCACCCCAAGCCAACGAUCGGUAGCUGGUCUGAGAGGACGACCAGCCACACUGUGACUGAGGCACGGCCCAGACACUUGCGGGAGGCAGCGGUGGGAAAUUUUGGAGGAUGGGCGCAAGCCUGAUCCAGCAAUGCCGCGUGAAGGAAGAAGGCGUUCGGGUUGUAAACUGCUUUUGUACGGAACGAAACGGCUCUGGUUAAUACCCGGGGAUAAUGACGGUACCGUAAGAAUAAGCACCGGCUAACUACGUG
Molecule: ribosomal RNA, 482 nt
Filed under: uncultured bacterium
Lineage: Bacteria
Description: partial 16S ribosomal RNA
Rfam family: Bacterial small subunit ribosomal RNA
Source: RNAcentral